RNAcentral lists this unclassified non-coding RNA (347 nucleotides) under Hevea brasiliensis (rubber tree). The record is from RNAcentral. Lineage: Eukaryota; Viridiplantae; Streptophyta; Magnoliopsida; Malpighiales; Euphorbiaceae.
GAGAAGUUUGGUCUUUCUUUAUCAACAAUAGAGAAACUGGGUCUCCUCUCUAAAGCAGAGGAAUUGGGUGUCCUCUCUGCAGCAACUGACCCUGGGACUCCAGGGGCUUUGUUAAGCCUUAGCUUGGGAUUGCUGCUUUUAGGUCCCUCUUGUGUUUAUCUUGUGCCUGAGGAUUACCCCUGGGAAGUUGCAUUGCAGGUUGUGGUUACUUUGCUUUCUGUGGUUGGGGGUUCUGCUUCCUUUGCUGCCUCAAAUUUUGUAUCCAACUUGCAGAAAUCAAACUAAAUUGGACAAGCCUUAUUUCUUUGUGUUUAAUGUUUAAUGUGAGUUUGCUGCUUUUUGAUCCA